ACUUACCAAACCGAUGCAAACUCCGAAUACCAAUGAGUACUAUCCGGGAGACAGACUGCGGGUGCUAACGUCCGUAGUCAAGAGGAAAACAAUCCAGACCGCCAGCUAAGGCCCCAAAAUUAUAGUUAAGUGGGAAACGAUGUGGGAAGGCAUAGACAGCUAGGAGGUUGGCUUAGAAGCAGCCAUCCUUUAAAGAAAGCGUAAUAGCUCACUAGUCGAGUCGGCCUGCGCGGAAGAUGUAACGGGGCUCAAACUGGAUACCGAAGCUGCGGCUGCAUACUUUGUAUGCGGGGUAGGGGAGCGUUGUGUAAGUCUGUGAAGGUGUCCUGAGAGGGAUGCUGGAGAUAUCACAAGUGCGAAUGCUGACAUGAGUAACGAUAAAGGGGGUGAGAGGCCCCCUCGCCGAAAAUCCAAGGUUUCCUGCUCAACGUUAAUCGGAGCAGGGUGAGUCGGCCCCUAAGGCGAGGCAGAAAUGCGUAGUCGAUGGGAAACAGGUUAAUAUUCCUGUACUUGUUAUUACUGCGAUGGGAUGACGGAGAAGGUUAGAUCAGCCAACUGUUGGAUAUGUUGGUUUAAGUGUGUAGACGUGUUGAGUAGGCAAAUCCGCUCGACUUAGUUGAGACAUGAUGACGAGCUUCAAUAGAAGUGAAGUGAUUGAUACCCGGCUUCCAGGAAAAGUCUCUAAGCUUCAGGUAAUAACGAACCGUACCCCAAACCGACACAGGUGGAUGGGAUGAGUAUUCUAAGGCGCUUGAGAGAACUCUGGUGAAGGAACUAGGCAAAAUGGCACCGUAACUUCGGGAGAAGGUGUGCCCCUGUUAGGUGAAGCGACUUGCUCGUGGAGCUGAAAGGGGUUGCAAUGACCAGGUGGCUGCGACUGUUUAUUAAAAACACAGCACUCUGCAAACUCGAAAGAGGACGUAUAGGGUGUGACGCCUGCCCGGUGCUGGAAGGUUAAGAGGAGUGCUUAGC
RNAcentral lists this ribosomal RNA (972 nucleotides) under Thalassiosira minuscula. RNAcentral's name for it is "partial Bacterial large subunit ribosomal RNA". It matches the Rfam family "Bacterial large subunit ribosomal RNA", at positions 934 to 1894 of the family's 2925-position model. Lineage: Eukaryota; Bacillariophyta; Thalassiosirophyceae; Thalassiosirales; Thalassiosiraceae. The record is from RNAcentral.